Molecule: ribosomal RNA, 468 nt
Filed under: uncultured bacterium
Lineage: Bacteria
Description: partial 16S ribosomal RNA
Rfam family: Bacterial small subunit ribosomal RNA
Source: RNAcentral
GACGAACGCUGGCGGCGUGCUUAACACAUGCAAGUCGAACGGAAAGGCCCUGCUUUUGUGGGGUGCUCGAGUGGCGAACGGGUGAGUAACACGUGAGUAACCUGCCCUUGAAUUUGGGAUAACUUCAGGAAAAUGGGGCUAAUACCGGAUAGGAGCUCCUGCUGCAUGGUGGGGGUUGGUAAGUUUCGGCGGUUGGGGAUGGACUCGCGGCUUAUCAGCUUGUUGGUGGGGUAGUGGCUUACCAAGGCUUUGACGGGUAGCCGGCCUGAGAGGGUGACCGGCCACAUUGGGACUGAGAUACGGCCCAGAAUCCUACGGGAGGCAGCAGUGGGGAAUAUUACACAAUAGGCGGAAGCCAGAUGCAGCAACGCCGCGUGCGGAAUAACGGCCUUCGAGUUAUAAACCUCUUUCGCCUGUGACGAAGCGAGAGUGACGGUAAUGGGUAAAGAAGCACCGGCUAACUACGUG